RNAcentral lists this ribosomal RNA (407 nucleotides) under uncultured bacterium. RNAcentral describes it as "partial 16S ribosomal RNA". It matches the Rfam family "Bacterial small subunit ribosomal RNA", at positions 360 to 774 of the family's 1533-position model. The record is from RNAcentral.
AAUAUUGCGCAAUGGAGGAAACUCUGACGCAGCGACGCCGCGUGAGCGAUGAAGGUCNNNGGUUCNUCAAGCUCUGUCCUUGGNGAGNAAGGUCUUAGGACUCGAGGGUACCCAUGGAGGCAGCCCCGGCUAACUAAGCUCCAGCAGACGCGGUAAUACGUCGGGGGCAAGCGUUGUCCGGAAUUAUUGGGCGUAACGGGUGCGUAGGCGGCCUUUUAAGUCAGUAGUGAAAGCCCACGGCUCAACCGUGGGAUUGAAUGUGAAACUGGAGGGCUUGAGUAUCGGAGAGGGUAGUGGAAUUCCCAGUGUAGCGGUGAAAUGCGUAGAUAUUGGGAGGAACACCAGUGGCGAAGGCGACUACCUGGACGAUUACUGACGCUGAUGCACGAAAGCUAGGGGAGCAAACA